GAUGAACGCUGGCGGCGUGCCUAAUACAUGCAAGUCGAGCGAACAGACGAGGAGCUUGCUCCUCUGACGUUAGCGGCGGACGGGUGAGUAACACGUGGAUAACCUACCUAUAAGACUGGGAUAACUUCGGGAAACCGGAGCUAAUACCGGAUAAUAUAUUGAACCGCAUGGUUCAAUAGUGAAAGACGGUUUUGCUGUCACUUAUAGAUGGAUCCGCGCCGCAUUAGCUAGUUGGUAAGGUAACGGCUUACCAAGGCAACGAUGCGUAGCCGACCUGAGAGGGUGUCCGGCCACACGGGAACGGAGACACGGUCCAGACUCCUACGGGAGGCAGCAGUAGGGAAUCUUCCGCAAUGGGCGAAAGCCUGACGGAGCAACGCCGCGUGAGUGAUGAAGGUCUUCGGAUCGUAAAACUCUGUUAUUAGGGAAGAACAAAUGUGUAAGUAACUAUGCACGUCUUGACGGUACCUAAUCAGAAAGCCACGGCUAACUACGUG
RNAcentral lists this ribosomal RNA (497 nucleotides) under uncultured bacterium. RNAcentral's name for it is "partial 16S ribosomal RNA". It matches the Rfam family "Bacterial small subunit ribosomal RNA", at positions 28 to 507 of the family's 1533-position model. The record is from RNAcentral.